Molecule: ribosomal RNA, 254 nt
Filed under: uncultured bacterium
Lineage: Bacteria
Description: partial 16S ribosomal RNA
Rfam family: Bacterial small subunit ribosomal RNA
Source: RNAcentral
CACGUAGGGGCCAAGCGUUGUCCGGAUUUAUUGGGCGUAAAGAGCUCGUAGGCGGUUGGGUAAGUCGGGUGUGAAAACUCCGGGCUCAACUCGGAGACGCCACCCGAUACUGCUCUGACUUGAGUCCGGUAGGGGAGUGGGGAAUUCCUGGUGUAGCGGUGAAAUGCGCAGAUAUCAGGAGGAACACCGGUGGCGAAGGCGGGUCUCUGGGCAGUAACUGACGCUGAGGAGCGAAAGCGUGGGGAGCGAACAGG